Molecule: ribosomal RNA, 433 nt
Filed under: uncultured bacterium
Lineage: Bacteria
Description: partial 16S ribosomal RNA
Rfam family: Bacterial small subunit ribosomal RNA
Source: RNAcentral
AACGAACGCUGGCGGCAUGCCUAACACAUGCAAGUCGAACGAGACCUUCGGGUCUAGUGGCGCGCGGGUGCGUAACGCGUGGGAACCUGCCCUUAGGUGCGGAAUAACGCGCUGAAAAGGGUGCUAAUACCGGAUAAUGUCUUCGGACCAAAGAUUGAUCGCCUUUGGAUGGGCCCGCGUUGGAUUAGCUAGUUGGUAGGGUAAAAGGCUACCAAGGCGACGCGACAUAGCGGGUCUGAGAGGAUGAUCAGCCACACUGGGACUGAGACACGGCCCAGACUCCUACGGGAGGCAGCCGUGGGGAAUACUGGAAAAUGGGCGAAAGCCUGAUCCAGCAAUGCCGCGUGAGUGAUGAAGGCCUUAGGGUUGUAAAGCUCUUUUACCCGGGAUGAUAAUGACAGUACCGGGAGAAUAAGCUCCGGCUAACUCCGUG